This is a non-coding RNA of Pelobates cultripes (western spadefoot toad), 294 nucleotides long. NCBI's taxonomy places the organism in Eukaryota, Metazoa, Chordata, Amphibia, Anura, Pelobatidae. The record is from the annotation of a GenBank genome assembly.
CCCCUGCUCCCUUUUCACCUGUAAAAAAAAAAAAAGUGGGUUUUUUUUUUGCCUUUUUUUCCAGCGUUGAGACUCACUUGGUGCUGCUGCCUGCUUCCUGUCAUCCUGGAGGCAUCGCUUCCUCGAUGAAUGUCCAAUAGAGGAGCAUCGGGGACGAAAUGUGCAAGCAUAGUGAGCGCCACUCGUCCUAUAAAAUGUUUCCAAACAAAUCAUUGAAUCCAAUGCUUCCAUAUGAGCUGCUGUUGAUGACGUUCAUGGACAGUGAAUGUCACUUGACAGAGUCAAACUGUGUCA